Molecule: ribosomal RNA, 1490 nt
Filed under: uncultured Bordetella sp.
Lineage: Bacteria; Pseudomonadati; Pseudomonadota; Betaproteobacteria; Burkholderiales; Alcaligenaceae
Description: partial 16S-23S ribosomal RNA intergenic spacer
Rfam family: Bacterial small subunit ribosomal RNA
Source: RNAcentral
AGUUUGAUCAUGGCUCAGAUUGAACGCUGGCGGGAUGCUUUACACAUGCAGUGGGCAGCGUACGGACUUCGGUCUGGUGGCGAGUGGCGAACGGAUGAUGUGUAUCGGAACGUGCCUGUGUGUGGGGGAUAACUACUGGCGAAGCGUAUUGUCCUGCGCAUACGCCCUUCAGGAAGAAGCGGGGACCUUCGGGCCUCACUAUUAGAAACGACGAAAUAUCGGAUUAAGCUAGUUGAGGUGAGGUAACAGCUCACCAAGGCGACUCCGUAACUGGUUUAGAGAAGGACGACCAGCCACACAGGACUGAGACACGGCCCAGACUCCUACGGGGAGGCAGCGGUGGGGAAUUUUUGGACAAUGGGGAAACCCUGAUCCAGCCAUCCGCGCGUGUGCGAUGAAGGCUGGUUAUCACGCUUUGGCAGAAAAGAAGCAGCACGGGGACCAACCACCCCAUUCACAGCGACCGUCCUUACAGGAAUAGCGCCGGUAACUGCGUUGCCCAGCAGCCGCGGUAAUACGUAGGGUGCAACGUUAAUCGGAAUUACUGGGCGUAAAGCGUGCGCGGGCGGUUCGGAAGAAGAUGUGGAAAUCGAGCGCCCAGCUUUGGAACUGCAUUUUUAACAUACCGAGCUGAGAGUGUGUCAGAGGGAGGGUGGAAUUCCGCGUGUAACAGUGAAGUAAAUGAAUAUGCGGAGGAACACCGAUGGCGAAGGCAGCCCUCCUGGGAUGCUACUGACGCUCAUGCACGAAAGCGUGGGAGCAAGCAGGAUUAGAUACCUGGUAGUCCACGCCCUAAACGAUGUCAGCUUCGCUGUUGAGGCCUUCAGGCCUUGGUAGCGCAGCUAACGCGCGUGAAGUUGACCGCCUCAGGAAGCGUUAUAGAAUUAAAACUCAAGAAGUCGACGAGACCCACCACCAAGCGGUGGAUGAUGUGGAUUGGUCGAUGCAACGCGAAAAACCUUACCUACCCUUGACAUGUCACAGAUCCCGAAGAGAUUUGGGAGUGCUCGCAAGAGAACCGGAACACCAGGUGCUGCACAUGGCUGUCGUCGGCUCGUGUCGUGAGAUGUUGGGUUAGAAUCCGCAACGAGCGCAACCCCUUCAUCAUUAGUUGCUACGAAAGGGCACUCGUAAUGGGACUAACAGUGACAAGCCGGAGGAAGGUGGGGAUGACGUCAAGUCCUCAUGGCCCUUAUGGGUGGGGCUUCACACGUCAUACAAUGGUCGGGACAGAGGUCGCCAACCCGCGAGGAGCCAAUCCCAGAAACCCGAUCAUGAGUCCGGAUCGCGAUCUGCAACUCGACUGCGUGAAGUCAGAAUCGCUAGUAAUCGCCCGGAUCAGCAUGUCGCGGUGAAUACGUUCCCGGGUCUUGUACACACACCGCCCGUCACACCAUGGGAGUGGGUUUUACCAGAAGUAGUUAGCCUAACCGUAAGGAGGGCGUUACCGCAGUAGGAUUCAUGACUGGGGUGAAGUCGUAACAAGGUAG